GGUUUCUUGGUGCAGUGGCAGCACGCCUCCCCUGCUUGUAUUAUUAGGAGGAGACGCAAGUUCGACUCUUGCAGAAGCCC
Leptodontidium sp. 2 PMI_412 is the source of this 80-nucleotide non-coding RNA. The record is from the annotation of a GenBank genome assembly. Lineage: Eukaryota; Fungi; Ascomycota; Leotiomycetes; Helotiales; Leptodontidiaceae.